GCUGGGCAGGGUGGCGCGUGCCUGUAAUCCAGCUACUCAGGAGGCUGAGGCAGGAGAAUCACUUGAACCCAGGAGGCGGAGGUUGCAGUGAGCUGAGAUUGUGCCACUCACUGCACUCCAGCCUGGGUGACAGAGCAAGACCCUGUCUCAA
This 151-nucleotide non-coding RNA is filed under the name Gorilla gorilla gorilla (western lowland gorilla). The record is from Rfam by way of RNAcentral. Lineage: Eukaryota; Metazoa; Chordata; Mammalia; Primates; Hominidae.